AGUGAACGCUGGCGGUAGGCCUAACACAUGCAAGUCGAACGGCAGCACAGUAAGAGCUUGCUCUUACGGGUGGCGAGUGGCGGACGGGUGAGGAAUACAUCGGAAUCUACUUUUUCGUGGGGGAUAACGUAGGGAAACUUACGCUAAUACCGCAUACGACCUACGGGUGAAAGCAGGGGAUCUUCGGACCUUGCGCGAUUGAAUGAGCCGAUGUCGGAUUAGCUAGUUGGCGGGGUAAAGGCCCACCAAGGCGACGAUCCGUAGCUGGUCUGAGAGGAUGAUCAGACACACUGGAACUGAGACACGCUCCAGACUCCUACGGGAGGAAGCAGUGGGGAAUAUUGGACAAUGGGCGCAAGCCUGAUCCAGCCAUACCGCGUGGGUGAAGAAGGCCUUCGGGUUGUAAGGCCCUUUUGUUGGGAAAGAAAAGCAGCAGGUUAAUACCCCGCUGUUCUGACGGUACCCAAAGAAUAAGCACCGGCUAACUUCGUG
This 492-nucleotide ribosomal RNA is filed under the name uncultured bacterium. RNAcentral describes it as "partial 16S ribosomal RNA". It matches the Rfam family "Bacterial small subunit ribosomal RNA", at positions 29 to 507 of the family's 1533-position model. The record is from RNAcentral.